UAGAGUUUGAUCCUGGCUCAGAUUGAACGCUGGCGGCAUGCCUUACACAUGCAAGUCGAACGGCAGCACGGGUGCUUGCGCCUGGUGGCGAGUGGCGAACGGGUGAGUAAUACAUCGGAACGUACCCAGGAGUGGGGGAUAACGUAGCGAAAGUUACGCUAAUACCGCAUAUUCUGUGAGCAGGAAAGCGGGGGAUCGCAAGACCUCGCGCUCUUGGAGCGGCCGAUGUCGGAUUAGCUAGUUGGUGAGGUAAAGGCUCACCAAGGCGACGAUCCGUAGCAGGUCUGAGAGGAUGAUCUGCCACACUGGGACUGAGACACGGCCCAGACUCCUACGGGAGGCAGCAGUGGGGAAUUUUGGACAAUGGGGGCAACCCUGAUCCAGCCAUGCCGCGUGAGUGAAGAAGGCCUUCGGGUUGUAAAGCUCUUUCGGCGGGGAAGAAAACGCACUGGUUAAUACCCAGUGCGGAUGACGGUACCCGCAUAAGAAGCACCGGCUAACUACGUGCCAGCAGCCGCGGUAAUACGUAGGGUGCGAGCGUUAAUCGGAAUUACUGGGCGUAAAGCGUGCGCAGGCGGUUUCGUAAGACAGACGUGAAAUCCCCGGGCUCAACCUGGGAACUGCGUUUGUGACUGCGAGGCUAGAGUGUAGCAGAGGGGGGGUGGAAUUCCACGUGUAGCAGUGAAAUGCGUAGAGAUGUGGAGGAACACCAAUGGCGAAGGCAGCCCCCUGGGUUAACACUGACGCUCAUGCACGAAAGCGUGGGGAGCAAACAGGAUUAGAUACCCUGGUAGUCCACGCCCUAAACGAUGUCAACUAGGUGUUGGGAGGGUUAAACCUUUUAGUACCGCAGCUAACGCGUGAAGUUGACCGCCUGGGGAGUACGGCCGCAAGGUUAAAACUCAAAGGAAUUGACGGGGACCCGCACAAGCGGUGGAUGAUGUGGAUUAAUUCGAUGCAACGCGAAAAACCUUACCUAC
RNAcentral lists this ribosomal RNA (980 nucleotides) under uncultured bacterium. RNAcentral describes it as "bacterial SSU rRNA". It matches the Rfam family "Bacterial small subunit ribosomal RNA", at positions 1 to 978 of the family's 1533-position model. The record is from RNAcentral.